Molecule: long non-coding RNA, 6665 nt
Filed under: Homo sapiens (human)
Lineage: Eukaryota; Metazoa; Chordata; Mammalia; Primates; Hominidae
Description: HSALNT0405316
Rfam family: Myocardial infarction associated transcript exon 5 conserved region 1 (bases 5225-5373)
Source: RNAcentral
AGCUACAAAGACGACGCCGGCUGCGCUCGCGGGACCAGAGGGAGGGAGGCUGCGGACGAGUGCGGGGAGGAGUUUGAGAUGGGAGGCGCUUGCAGGGGCUCCCCCAGUUCUGCGCUGUGAGCCGGGGCACAAAGAGCCCUCUGCACUAGCGCCGCAGGACCGCGGACCCGAGGUCCUUUCUCUGGCUGUGAUCCAUGCUUCUUCCCAGGGCAGGAUUACACUCUUUGAAUUUACUUAUUCAUCAAGACAGUGCAGAGUGGUGGAAAGAGAAGCAGCUGAGAGUUACGCAGUUGGAGGCAUCUGUCCACCCAUGUGGUUCCAGACACGUUCAUGUGGCCACCAUGACCCCGUCGGCAUCACAGGGGUAACCAAGGUCCACAGAACGAGGGGAAAGGGUCACUGUGGAUCAAGCCAGGCUCCUCUGAGCAGUCCAGGGUCUAUUUACAGAGAGCAGCAAGUUCCUGGGACAGAGGAGACAGAAGGGAAUUUCCAGGUUCUUCAGGACGUUCACAACCACACUGAGAAGCAUCUUUGCAGAUAAGUAUUUAAACUUACCAGCCCAUAGCCUACCAGCCUGCCCUCUUCUGGUCUGUGCAGGAAAGUGUAGUAUCCUAGAAUGCCAAAGUGGGAGGGGAAAUGGGUGAUGUAGCUCAUUCUCUUUUCUACCUCUAUGGAAGAAAGAAAGAGCCUGUCCCCAUUUUGUGGGGUCCCAGAAAGGGUGAUUUUCACACUUCACAUUUGGCGUUAGGGCUAGUAUUUCACAAACAUUACCGUCUGGAACUUUUGAAGGCUGAGUUAAAUGACUUCAUCUUGUGUACUUGUAGAACUGCUAUUAGAAGGAGGCUGGGGACUCCCUGAUGAUGUGAACCAGCCCUUCUCUUCUCAGUUUCAGCACUUUGUGAUCAUAUUUAUAAACCUUGGACAGGGCUCCUUGGCCUUAGAGUUAAGUGAAGAGUUAACACUGUGACUUUAGAUGCAUUUUUCUCAGUGUAAGUGUCUGAGCUCAUCUCCAGUUCUGGACUCGUGCCCCCACUCCCGGGUGCUGACAGCAAGCUCUGAAGAUAUGCUGAGAGAGCUCCCUGACUCUCCUGACUCAGGUCUGCCAGUUGAUGAAGACAGCACAGUUGUUACCAAAAACAAAACCUGGCAGAUGGUCCUAGGUCAGGAUUAGUGGUCAUUCUCUGGUCUUCUCCAGACUGGUGACACAGGGUGGUCUUAAAAGAGUCCUAGUCCAGCCUCUGGCUCCCCGAAUUUCCUCUGGUGCAUGGGGCAUCAGGAAAGGGCAGGGGAGAAGGAGGGGGAGCAGAAAAAUAACUGAGGCUGGGCAGAAGGGUCCCUUCCAUUUCCCAUCCAUUGCUUCAAACAAUGGGUGAUUACCGUGCACCUUGAGUGAAUGUCAAGGCAGGAAGGGUUCCAGGGCCACCCAGUGUGGCAGGAGCAGAGCUGGGAUCAGAAUUCUGGAUUCCUGACUCUCCGUUCAGCUGCUAUUCAGCUAUCACCAAGCUGCUGAGUUUGUCCUACUUUCUCCUGGGUCACAUUCUGCUGUUGUUGGGAAACAGGGAGUGAGUGAAGGGAACCUGGGAACCCUUCUCCCCUCACCUUUUAAGGAUGUUCUGGGGUGGAAUAAAGAGAGGUGGAGGGUGGGGUGCCUGGGCCCAGCCUCCCUGGCUCCUGGUCCUUCUUUCUUCAGCAGGGAGUUCUGGCAAGGCCUGGGCCUGGGGAGGGGGCCUGGGUGCAGUUUUCUCCUGCGGUGUGGUUGGCUCUUUUGUCUUCCAGGAUGGGCCUGUGGGGUCUGUGUGGGGAAGGAAGGAGCUGGGAGCCUGGGCUGCCUGUGUGUCGGCUGGAUGCUGCCAGCACCGGCAUGGACCAAGCAACUUCUCUGAGCCAGAUGCUGGGGACGCAGAGGUGAACCCAGAGACAUGAUCCCAUCUGCUCAGAUCUUCAUGUCAGAACACGCUUUAUUACAGUCUCGGCAAGGGGGUGGCUCCAUCUGGGCCGCAUCUCCAGGACUCCUGGCCUGGACUUCUCUUUGGACCUCGGGUGACCUUGGAUUCUGGCCACAGUGACUUAGCGGUCAGACUCCGGUGGUUUUCUAGCCCGCUGGGUGACUCCCUGAAGAUCUCAUCCUCUUCACACCUGUUGGGAUGGAGCCUCCCAUGGAUAGGAACUCUUCCUGGUUGAUGCUCAGCAGAUGACUGAUCUGGCUCUGGAGGACAGCUCCAGGGGUAUGAGGGAGGCCUGGCAGCCCACUACUCCCUCCUCACCUGCUCGGGCCCUGCCUGCUGGGCCCUAUUGUCUGGGUCUGGGGGCCCUUUCCUGCCCCAUGUGAACUUGAUUCCUCCUCGCGUUUCUGCCGGUGACCAGACAGAGCCUGGCCUGGGCCAAGUCCCCACUGACCACACUUUCCCCAAGGCUGGGUCUCAAAGGACCCUACAGGAUGGGGACAGGAACAAGGAUGGGAGUCGGGGAGGGGCUGUCAGGCAGAGGGCAGAUGCAGCUCCUCGGGUGCCGCUGGCUGGAGUCCUUUGUCUCCAUUUGCUCAGUGCGUAAUUGUCAUUUUGUGGGGGACUUCCUUGGUGGGGCUUUUCCAUGCUUUUCCUCUCCCUGAUGGUUACAAAGAGGAGACAGUCAGGAUCUGGGAGGAGCUGGAGCCUUCCCCCUGUGCUGUUGAACUCUGGGAGGGGCAGCCAGAGGGGCUGAGAGUGCACCAUCCUGAAAAGAGAGGGUCUUUAAGAGAUAAGAUUUAGGCUAGGGAAAUUCACUAGAAAGAGACAGGUGGCCCUGGGUUUUUUUUCCUGCCAUCCAAAGGGAACCAGUCUUACCCAAAGGCUUAAGGGGUCACCUUAGCCCAGUCUCAGGACACUCUUCUCCAAUCAGAUCGCUGCUUCUAGUUGCACUGCUCCUGGAUUCUGUUCUUGGGGAACAGAAGGUGGCAGGACAGGCCCCACAAUCUGCAAUUCCAGCUCCCUCCAGAGGAGACAGUCCCAGCGUUUGCAAGAGAGCAGCUUGUGGCCUCCCUUAGGCAAGUUUAAAAGCCAGAUGUCCUUUUUCCCAGAAUGCGGAGUGGUGUGUACUAUUCAUCAGCUUGGGCUGCCACAGCACCAUGCCAGACUGGAUGGCUUAAACAUCAGGAAUUUAUUUUCUGCCAGUUCUGGAGGCUGGAAAGUCCAGAUCAAGGUGUUAAGACUUGGUUUCUGGUGAGGCCUCUCUCCUUGGCUUGCAGGUGGCACCUUCUCACUAUGUCCUCACAUGGCCUUUUCUCUGUGGAGAGGGACAGAGAGCAUGAGCAGGCUCUGGUGUCUCCUCCUCUUCUUAUAAAGACACUAAUAUCACCAUAUUAGGGCUUAAACCUAUGACCUCAUUUAACCUUAACCCCUUAAAGGUCCCAUCUCCAAAAACAGUCACAUAGCAGGCUACUGCUUCAACAUAUGCAUUUGGGGGAGGGGACACCAUUCAGUUCUUAACAGGGUGGUCACCGCAAACAUGGAAAGUCAGAGCCUUCUCCCCUUCAGAAUUCCCGCCCCCACCCAGGGAUGGGGAGGAGGAGCAGAGAGGUAUGGGAAGCAGACACGGAGAGUGGCAGGUACCAUGCUGGGGUGGCUCAGGAGUGCUUCGGAGGACAUAUGGAACUGGCAGGGCUCAGUGCAGGGAGGCGGAGGCCCUGGGAGAGCCGUGUCCUGAGAAGGGCCUGGGCUACAACCCUGGGCAAGUUACUUCACCUCUGAGCCUCCGAUGCUCUGUGAAAUGGAAGGAAUGUGCUUGCCUGUCAGGUGCAGGGAGAAUUCAGUGAGAUUGUGUGCCUAGCACAGUGCCUGACUCCCAGUAGGUGCUCAGCAAAUGCUCCCAUCCAUCUGGGAGUAUAGACUUAGGGUUUAUCUAUUUUUUUUUUUUUUUGGCUCUCUGGACUUUAAAACUCAGCAUCUUCUGAACCAGAGGCAUUUCUGAUUAGCCCUUCCCUACCUAUUUUCCUAGUAUCACUCUUUAAUCAGCUUGGGGAGGUGGCAGCAUUUCAUGGCCUCCGUAGUAACUCACAAUGCUUCCUGGGGUAUUUAAAUUCUACUCUCUCAUCAGCACUGAGCACCUACUUUGGGCCCUUUCCCGUGCUAGCCAUUUGGGGGAAAUAUAGGUGAAGAGUGGCUGGGGUUUGAACCUUUAGGAUUUCACAGCCAUGCUGGAUGGGAUAAAACCAGCUCACAUGGAGAAUCAGAGAAUGGGACAGUGCCACAAAACAGUCUACUGAGGCACAAGUUCUGAGUGCCUGGGAAGUGGUAGAGAGACCCCAGAGAGGGCUGCUGCAGUCUGGAACAGCUUCCUAGCAAGCUGUACCAAACAGGGCCUUGAAGGAUGAGAAAGAUCUGGCUGAGAUGAUACCCGACCCUCUAGGGAAAUUCUUAAAGUAACUUCUAGGAAAUGUCAUUGCUCCUUAAAAAAAAAAAAAAAAAAAAAAAAGCAGGUUCUAAUUCAAAUUCCGCUGCACUACUGAAGUAGUGCAGGACUUAUCAGAACCUUUAAAAUGCUAAUGGCAAUUUCAAAUACUCAGGGACAGGGCAUAGGAUGAAGUGUUCCUUGACUUUUAUGGCCGUAGAAUCUUUUUCUCAUGGAACAUCGUUUAGAACUGUGGGAGAUGCUAGGCUGGGGUUUCUAUGGGAAAAGUACAGCAGUGAUAGAAGAUGGCAUAAUUAGGGUACACUUAGGUGCUUUGUAGCAUUGGCUGAAAAGGAAGCAGACCGGGUGGGCGUGGGGGAGUCUCAACUUGGUUCCAGGAGCCAGGCCAGCUUGAUGCGUUUUUUUUUUUUCUAAUGGUGGGAGGGCAGGCCAAUAGUUGGAGAAACUAGAGGCCUGACAGUCGGUGAUGGAAGAGAUGUCUACUAAGCACGGUUGUCAGAUCUUUUGCGGAGAGAUGCGGGUGUGCGUGUGUCUGUCAGAGUGUAACAGGAUCCAGCCCUCUGGGAAGGGGCUGACCAGAACCAGGCAGGGGGUUUCUGUCUAGGACAAGUAGGGUCCAUUUUCAGGGGAGCUGAAAUAUUUGCAGGGGGUGCUCUGAGACCCACAGCCAAUAAAUAGGGAAGCAACAUGCUUUUGGGCAGGGUCCAUGUGGUUAGGGUUGAUUUUGAUGGGGCUGGGGGGCUUAGAGUUAGACCCCCUGCCCUGGUCAGGCCCCACUCCCUGGCUGGUGGGGGCGGGAGGCCUCUGAAGCUGCAGCUGGAGGGGCCGGGGCAGUGUUGCAUGGUGUGAUUAACCUACUAACCCAGGGCUCAGCCGGGACGCUGUGGCGUGUGACGAGGUGCCUGGCCUUCUGCCAACCAACUAACCCACUAACCAGGCCCGAGCAUGCCCUACUAACCACCCCCCCGCAGCCAGAUCCUACUAACUGUGCAGCUCAUGGGCCUUUCAAGGGGCUGGGAUAUGGGGGCAGCCAAGGCUCCAGAAGGCUCUGCCUAUGGGCUGGGAUCUUUGUGCAGACCCACGUUCCAGGACAGAGAAUGCAAAUAAGACUCACCAACUCUGCCACUUCCUGUUGAGUGAGUUUGAGUAAGUCACCUCACUUCUCUCAACCUCAGUUUCCUCAGUGGUAGAAUGCGAGUUCUGAUACCUUACAGGUUGCAGUGAGGAUUCCCGUCAAUAUAAGGGUCUCAGCACAUGGCAGACACCUAAAAAAAAAAAAAGUAUGAGGAUGGAGGAAGGCCCCUCAAACCUGGUUGAACACGUCUGCUGCCUAGGCCCUGGCCUCUCUGGGUGUUCUGCACACAGAUCCUUCUGCCUGGGGCAAGACACUUGGCUUUGAAUCCAUGUCACUUCCCCACAUUCUUCCUCCGUCUCAGCUUUCUUUUCUGUAGGCAGCUCUUUUGUUCGAUUACUAACCCGUCUAACCCCUGGGGUGCCUCAACUGCACCCCGAUCAUCCCUUAACAAACUAACGGACCUGCGUGCGUUCUUCCUUUUCUCUUAGCGACUCCUGUGUGUGUCUGCUGAGGUGCCCUGUCCGCUGGUGCUGUGCUCUGACUUACUAACCCAGCCCCUACUAACCCUGUUUUCUCUUCUUACUAACCCCAGCCCUGCCGAGCUCUGGGCUCCCCCCGGGGGCUGGUCCCCCUCCUUUUGGCAAGCAGAUGACCUGGGGCUACUGGCCCUGUAGACAGAUGUCCCACUUUGCUGCCCCAUAUUGGCUGUAAGAUCAGAGUCCACUGGGCCAGGUCUAAGGCAGGGGAUGGCCCUAUUAACAAGACUCAGAGGAGGAAGAGGUGGUCCUGUGGAUGUGGGAGGCUGGACUCUGAGUAUGACAUCUCUCCUAUGUGCAGAAGUCUGGUUGCCACUGGGAGUAGGUGGGACCAGGGAAAUCUCUGGGACGUGAGUGUGGAGGCCUGUUGGUCUAGACUCUAGACUGUGGAGCUCUGAGCUUUUGUGUCCUCUGGAAGGAAGCUGGGGAAGAAUCCUCUCCAUUGUUAAGUGACGGGGAUAGAAGCUGUCCUGCACAGGAAGUCACGAGGGGGGCGUAUCCCACGAGGAAGGCAGGAGGGGGCGUGCCCCUCACCGGAAAUUAGCAGAGGGGCGUGUCCCACACCGGAAGUCAGAAAGCGGAGCCUUUCUUACACCGGAAGUCAAUGAAGCGGGUCUUUCCUACGCUAAAAACCACUGAGUGGAGUAUUUAGUACACAGGAAGUCGGC